GGGACACGUGGUAUCCUGUCUGAAUAUGGGGGGACCAUCCUCCAAGGCUAAAUACUCCUGACUGACCGAUAGUGAACCAGUACCGUGAGGGAAAGGCGAAAAGAACCCCGGCGAGGGGAGUGAAAAAGAACCUGAAACCGUGUACGUACAAGCAGUGGGAGCACGCUUAGGCGUGUGACUGCGUACCUUUUGUAUAAUGGGUCAGCGACUUAUAUUCUGUAGCAAGGUUAACCGAAUAGGGGAGCCGAAGGGAAACCGAGUCUUAACUGGGCGUUAAGUUGCAGGGUAUAGACCCGAAACCCGGUGAUCUAGCCAUGGGCAGGUUGAAGGUUGGGUAACACUAACUGGAGGACCGAACCGACUAAUGUUGAAAAAUUAGCGGAUGACUUGUGGCUGGGGGUGAAAGGCCAAUCAAACCGGGAGAUAGCUGGUUCUCCCCGAAAGCUAUUUAGGUAGCGCCUCGUGAAUUCAUCUCCGGGGGUAGAGCACUGUUUCGGCAAGGGGGUCAUCCCGACUUACCAACCCGAUGCAAACUGCGAAUACCGGAGAAUGUUAUCACGGGAGACACACGGCGGGUGCUAACGUCCGUCGUGAAGAGGGAAACAACCCAGACCGCCAGCUAAGGUCCCAAAGUCAUGGUUAAGUGGGAAACGAUGUGGGAAGGCCCAGACAGCCAGGAUGUUGGCUUAGAAGCAGCCAUCAUUUAAAGAAAGCGUAAUAGCUCACUGGUCGAGUCGGCCUGCGCGGAAGAUGUAACGGGGCUAAACCAUGCACCGAAGCUGCGGCAGCGACGCUUAUGCGUUGUUGGGUAGGGGAGCGUUCUGUAAGCCUGUGAAGGUGUGCUGUGAGGCAUGCUGGAGGUAUCAGAAGUGCGAAUGCUGACAUAAGUAACGAUAAAGCGGGUGAAAAGCCCGCUCGCCGGAAGACCAAGGGUUCCUGUCCAACGUUAAUCGGGGCAGGGUGAGUCGACCCCUAAGGCGAGGCCGAAAGGCGUAGUCGAUGGGAAACAGGUUAAUAUUCCUGUACUUGGUGUUACUGCGAAGGGGGGACGGAGAAGGCUAUGUUGGCCG
RNAcentral lists this ribosomal RNA (1070 nucleotides) under Escherichia coli. Its description in RNAcentral is "partial 23S ribosomal RNA". It matches the Rfam family "Bacterial large subunit ribosomal RNA", at positions 419 to 1493 of the family's 2925-position model. Lineage: Bacteria; Pseudomonadati; Pseudomonadota; Gammaproteobacteria; Enterobacterales; Enterobacteriaceae. The record is from RNAcentral.